RNAcentral lists this long non-coding RNA (3713 nucleotides) under Sus scrofa (pig). Its description in RNAcentral is "lncRNA (ENSSSCG00065018986.1)". Lineage: Eukaryota; Metazoa; Chordata; Mammalia; Artiodactyla; Suidae. The record is from RNAcentral.
CUGAUCGUCUGAGUCUGCCUCCCUGGGACUGAGGCGGAUCCAGAGGGCACAUCACAGCUGGACGCUCAGAACAGAGGUCCCGGGGCCAGCCAGGGUCCUUGGCCUGAGUCAUGGCAACAGAAGCCAAUCGAGCAGCCACAGUUACCCCCAGGUCUGGAGCUGAAGGGCUCCCUCCGUGGCAGGGCCUCAGCCACCCCCAGCCUGGCCAGACAGAUCAACCCCAGAAAGUCCCGCCCCAGGAGAAGCCCAGGAGGAGGAGCCGCCGUCUCAAGGAGCUGGGGGCCUGCCAUGUUGUCGUCGCUCUGCUGUACGUGUUCCUUGGGGGUUACCUGGCCGCCAUCGUCCAGAGCCUUCACCUGGUGGUGCUGAAGUCUUGGUAUCCGUUCUGGGGGGCUGCUUCUUUCCUCAUUUCAGGGAUCUUGGCAAUAACAAUGGAGACAUUUCAGAAAAAUUACCUGGUAAGUCACAGCGUUGAGAGUGUUCCCUUCCAUCCCAAGCCUGGGGUAACUUUUCAACGGGCAUCGUUUGGAGUGCGGACUCAAGAGGCAUCUCUCCAGGAUUUGCUAGACGUGGGCACCAGCCUCUGGGACAGCAGAGGGCGUCCGGGCUGAAUGGUCCCCCUUCCUGGAGGUCUGACCUCACACCCUGACUCCCGCCUUUCUCUCCACCUGCUGCCCUCUCCCCACCCCGGUUCUGGCCUAGAGACAGGCAUCAUCCAGCCUAUUGAUGGUAGCCUUGGAGAUUGUUCUGCCAGCCCUACCUUGGCCCCCUGGGCCCCGCCAUCAUACUCCCUACCCCACCCCACCCAAGGCUUGCCUCCAACAUCAGCAAGUCUACCUGCCUGCAGGCUGGACCGCAGCUGGGUUUCCAUAUACGUCUCACCUCUAAGCGCCAGCUGGACACAAGUGGUCCCCCCUGUGCUCUGUGCUGUCUUGUGCCCAGGCACCUUGCCUCUCCCCACUGUGCAUGUUCUCCUGGCUUUGACUUCCUCCUGAUCAUUCUUCAAGGUGCACUUUACAUGCCUCCUCCUCCAGGCAGUCUUCCCUGACCUGCCCUGGCUGGCUCCUGUGUCCCCACAGCUCCUUGGACUUCUCUGUCUCCUUUCUCUCUCAGGCACUAAGCUUGGGCAGCAACUGCCUGAGCAUCUUUCUAGCCCGAGGCAGCCCAGGGAGGCACAGAGUGGACACCCACAUGAGCCCAAGUGGAUGGAGGUGGAUGGGGGCGGGAAGGACCAUCCCAUCCACCCUGUGUCAUGGCCUCAGCACCCCCUCCACCCCCAAGCCCUGGCUGGGUCCACAUUCAUGCCUCCCAUUGCUGAUGAACGGGGAUGGCCUGUCUCUUCUGUGAAUUCACAGGAUCUGAUGGAAAAAAGGGAAGACUCGCCAUCCAGCUUCUCCACUUCCCACCACCUCCCUCUCCCCAAGGGGCAGGGCAGCCCAGGCAUGGUCCCUUGCUCCUCCCUGGCUUGUGCUCUGGCUGUCCCCACCGCCCUCUGUCCGCAGGAGCAGUCUUUGCUGGGGCUGGGGACGUGGAGUAUGGGGCAGGGUGUGGUGCAUCCGAGCUCAUUCAGCCAGGACGUGCGCAAAACUCAUCUCGGUCAAGCGCCAAGGCCGGCUCACAUUCGUGCCUCCCAGACCGGGCUGGACUGGCUGCCCCCUGCCCUCUUGGGGUGUAGCAGACAAAAGCAUGUUGUGCCACUUACCCAGCAGAGGCAGGGAUGCUUGGCAGAAACCUGGCCAUUCCUCCUGGGCUGGGCCCCUUCCAGACCCAUAAGCCUACCCCUUCCUACACCUGAACGCGGGGAGCCUCUCAUUGCAGAGAAAUCCAUUCUAGCAUAAGAGGUUGGGGUGCCUUAUGUUUAUACCCUUUCCCCAUUAUAGGGGUUUGUACUUGGCAAGAAUCCUGUGGAAUAAGGUGAGACCCAAGACGAUGAGGAAUGAGGCAUUUCCGGGGCUAUGGUGGGCAGGGAAGGGGGUGACCUGAGUGAGUGAAGAUAGGGCACCUUCGGGGCUCAUCCCACCUGGGUCGGGGGGCCAUUUGGGUGUCGAGACUCUGAUCAGUUAGCAUAUCUGCUGCCAGGAUGACUGGGAACAGCUUGGAGAGAAAGACGGCAGAGCAGGGGGUGGGGGCUUCCUUCCUUAUUGCAAAGCCUGUGGAUCCAGAGGUGGUCCUUGCAUUCUCUGGGUCCCAUCCCAUAGAAGGCGAGGGCCAGUUGGGGCUCCUCGUGGUCAGCCAGCUCAGAAAGCUGUGUGUGGGUGAACUUCUGGCCCAGAGACAGGCAGCAUUUUCCUGAGGUCACAAAGUGAGCUACUGGCUGGCCUGCGUGGAGGACCGAGGACUCAUCUCUGACCUUUGGACUACAGCUGUCACUCUUUUUUUGCUUGUAGGCGGCGUGCCUGACAGCAAAUGCCAUCAGCUUCUUCUGUGUGCUCUGUGGCCUCUUUGUCAUCGCCAAGGAUCUCUUUCUGGAGAGCCCAUUUGACUUCCCUGUCUGGAAACCAUACCCCAACGACACAGUCCACAUCCAGAGGCUGGUGCUGGCCCUGCUCUGCGUCACCUGCCUGGAGGUCUUCCUGCCGGGGCUCAUGGCCAUCCUGGCUUAUAGGGAUACCCGCCUGGCUGCAGAGAAGGAUGACCUGUCCCUUGGCCCUGACAUGCUGUUGGAGCUCAGGGGGUCUCCGAUGACACCUCCACCAUCCUAUGACGAUGUGACUAAAGGCAACGGGUGGCAGGAGCAGAAGCAGAUGUGAAGAGGCACUGGCUCCACGCACCAUCAGAAUUCACCCACUGGUCCCUUGUCCUGGACAGAUUAAGGACCAAUUCCAAGGGGCGGUUACCAGAAGGGGGCAAACGGUACCAUGGCUAAAAACGUCUGCCCCAUGCUGGUGGCCAGGGAGGGGAAGUCCCCAUUCUGUCUGGCAUGGGAGGGACCUCCAGGUCCCCACGCCCCGUAACAUCCCAGCUGGACCAGAACACAACUGGGUCCUGCCCACCCACCCAGGCAGACACGGGAACAGACCCCUGGGUCCGCAGCCCCCUCCCCCACCCUCCUUGUCUGCUUCCCCCAGUCCCUGGUGGGCACAUAGACAUCCUGUCCACGUGGGGCUGUGCCUGAAGAGGAGAAGGGUCCUCAGAGCCCAGAUGGGCACCGUUUUCCCUGGACUCGACCUACCAAGGGGUCUCUACAAACACUUGUGUUUGAAUCCCUGGAUUCGGGGUGGAAACAGCAGGGGCAAUCAGACAGAAACUAUGACCAGUUCUUCCUCCCAAACCAUCAGCAUGUCUCCCCGCCCCCACCCCGGGGCCUCAGUGUCUCCAUCUGUACAGGGAAGGGGCGGGUGGAAGAUGUGACCAGGACCUACCUGCUGGGAAGUUCUGAGAUCAGAGUCAAGUUCACUCAAGGUUAUCAAGGAAGCAUCAGCAUCAGAAUUCCACACCUCCUUGUGCUGAGCGAAUAGUGGGGAGAGAGACCUACCUUCCUCAUUUCCCAAAUUUUCAGUCAUCCAAGGGCCGACCUUACAAAUUUGGUCUAUUUGUGGACUGUGCUGUAUUCCCUUUAUGUUCCCUUAAAUUGCCUUUUUUUCUCAUGCACUAUUAUGUGAGGGGUAAUUUGCAUCAGCAACAAACAGGAAGUCUGUACCUAUCCAUACAAAGAAGCCAACCACAAAAAUCACGUAAACACGGUAAAAAUAAAACAAAAGCAACUUGUCGCC